RNAcentral lists this ribosomal RNA (468 nucleotides) under uncultured bacterium. Its description in RNAcentral is "partial 16S ribosomal RNA". It matches the Rfam family "Bacterial small subunit ribosomal RNA", at positions 28 to 507 of the family's 1533-position model. The record is from RNAcentral.
GACGAACGCUGGCGGCGUGCUUAACACAUGCAAGUCGAACGGAAAGGCCCUGCUUUUGUGGGGUGCUCGAGUGGCGAACGGGUGAGUAACACGUGAGUAACCUGCCCUUGACUUUGGGAUAACUUCAGGAAACUGGGGCUAAUACCGGAUAGGAGCUCCUGCUGCAUGGUGGGGGUUGGAAAGUUUCGGCGGGUGGGGAUGGACUCGCGGCUUAUCAGCUUGUUGGUGGGGUAGUGGCUUACCAAGGCUUUGACGGGUAGCCGGCCUGAGAGGGUGACCGGCCUCAUUGGGACUGAGAUACGGCCCAGACUCCUACGGGAGGCAGCAGUGGGGAAUAUUGCACAAUGGGCGGAAGCCUGAUGCAGCAACGCCGCGUGCGGGAUGACGGCCUUCGGGUUGUAAACCGCUUUCGCCUGUGACGAAGCGUGAGUGACGGUAAUGGGUAAAGAAGCACCGGCUAACUACGUG